GACGAACGCUGGCGGCGUGCUUAACACAUGCAAGUCGAACGGAAAGGCUUCUUUCGGGGGGUACUCGAGUGGCGAACGGGUGAGUAACACGUGAGUAACCUGCCCUUGACUUUGGGAUAACUUCAGGAAACUGGGGCUAAUACCGGAUAGGAGCUCCUGCUGCAUGGUGGGGGUUGGAAAGUUUCGGCGGUUGGGGAUGGACUCGCGGCUUAUCAGCUUGUUGGUGGGGUAGUGGCUUACCAAGGCUUUGACGGGUAGCCGGCCUGAGAGGGUGACCGGCCACAUUGGGACUGAGAUACGGCCCAGACUCCUACGGGAGGCAGCAGUGGGGAAUAUUGCACAAUGGGUGGAGGCCUGAUGCAGCAACGCCGUGUGCGGGAUGACGGCCUUCGGGUUGGAAACCGCUUUCGCUCAUGACGAAGCUUUGUGUGACGGUAGUGGGUAAAGAAGCACCGGCUAACUACGUG
RNAcentral lists this ribosomal RNA (467 nucleotides) under uncultured bacterium. RNAcentral describes it as "partial 16S ribosomal RNA". It matches the Rfam family "Bacterial small subunit ribosomal RNA", at positions 28 to 507 of the family's 1533-position model. The record is from RNAcentral.